Mycena metata is the source of this 94-nucleotide non-coding RNA. The record is from the annotation of a GenBank genome assembly. Lineage: Eukaryota; Fungi; Basidiomycota; Agaricomycetes; Agaricales; Mycenaceae.
GCCUCUGUGGAUCAGCGUGAGAUCACCUCUCCCAAGUAUUUGAGUGCAGGUCCUUCUGCAAGAGGAAGUGUGGGUUCGACUCCCACCGGAGGCA